Molecule: ribosomal RNA, 253 nt
Filed under: uncultured bacterium
Lineage: Bacteria
Description: partial 16S ribosomal RNA
Rfam family: Bacterial small subunit ribosomal RNA
Source: RNAcentral
UACGUAGGGGGCGAGCGUUGUCCGGAAUUAUUGGGCGUAAAGAGCUCGUAGGCGGUCCAUUAAGUCGGAAGUGAAAUCUCAGGGCUCAACCCUGAAAUUGCUUUCGAUACUGGCGGACUUGAGGCAAGUAGGGGAGAGCGGAAUUCCUGGUGUAGCGGUGAAAUGCGCAGAUAUCAGGAGGAACACCGAUGGCGAAGGCAAUCCCCUGGGCCUGCACUGACGCUCAUGCACGAAAGCGUGGGGAGCAAACAGG